GCGGGUGUAGCUCAGUUUUGGUUCAGCAAGUUUCCCUAAGUUUUCUUUCGCGCUUUUGGGAAAGGCCAAGUGGUAGAGCGCCCUCAUUCCGGGGGAGGUCACGGGUUCGGCUCCCGUCACCCGCU
This 125-nucleotide transfer RNA is filed under the name Patescibacteria group bacterium. Its description in RNAcentral is "tRNA-Glu". It matches the Rfam family "tRNA". Rfam says of the family: Transfer RNA (tRNA) molecules are approximately 80 nucleotides in length. Their secondary structure includes four short double-helical elements and three loops (D, anti-codon, and T loops). Further hydrogen bonds mediate the characteristic L-shaped molecular structure. tRNAs have two regions of fundamental functional importance: the anti-codon, which is responsible for specific mRNA codon recognition, and the 3' end, to which the tRNAs corresponding amino acid is attached (by aminoacyl-tRNA synthetases). tRNAs cope with the degeneracy of the genetic code in two manners: having more than one tRNA (with a specific anti-codon) for a particular amino acid; and 'wobble' base-pairing, i.e. permitting non-standard base-pairing at the 3rd anti-codon position. The record is from RNAcentral.